GUACACUCCUACGGGAGGCAGCAGUGGGGAAUAUUGGACAAUGGGCGCAAGCCUGAUCCAGCCAUGCCGCGUGAGUGAUGAAGGCCCUAGGGUUGUAAAGCUCUUUCACCGGUGAAGAUAAUGACGGUAACCGGAGAAGAAGCCCCGGCUAACUUCGUGCCAGCAGCCGCGGUAAUACGAAGGGGGCUAGCGUUGUUCGGAUUUACUGGGCGUAAAGCGCACGUAGGCGGACUAUUAAGUCAGGGGUGAAAUCCCGGGGCUCAACCCCGGAACUGCCUUUGAUACUGGUAGUCUUGAGUUCGAGAGAGGUGAGUGGAAUUCCGAGUGUAGAGGUGAAAUUCGUAGAUAUUCGGAGGAACACCAGUGGCGAAGGCGGCUCACUGGCUCGAUACUGACGCUGAGGUGCGAAAGCGUGGGGAGCAAACAGGAUUAGAUACCCCUGUAGUCCCA
This 450-nucleotide ribosomal RNA is filed under the name uncultured organism. RNAcentral's name for it is "partial 16S ribosomal RNA". It matches the Rfam family "Bacterial small subunit ribosomal RNA", at positions 331 to 797 of the family's 1533-position model. The record is from RNAcentral.